GAUGAACGCUGGCGGCGUGCCUAAUACAUGCAAGUCGAGCGAACGGACGAGAAGCUUGCUUCUCUGAUGUUAGCGGCGGACGGGUGAGUAACACGUGGAUAACCUACCUAUAAGACUGGGAUAACUUCGGGAAACCGGAGCUAAUACCGGAUGAUAUUUUGAACCGCAUGGUUCAAAAGUGAAAGACGGUCUUGCUGUCACUUAUAGAUGGAUCCGCGCUGCAUUAGCUAGUUGGUAAGGUAACGGCUUACCAAGGCAACGAUGCAUAGCCGACCUGAGAGGGUGAUCGGCCACACUGGAACUGAACCACGGUCCAGACUCCUACGGGAGGCAGCAGGAGGGAAUCUUCCGCAAUGGGCGAAAGCCUGACGGAGCAACGCCGCGGGAGUGAUGAAGGUCUUCGGAUCGUAAAACUCUGUUAUUAGGGAAGAACAUAUGUGUAAGUAACUGUGCAAAUCUUGACGGUACCAAAUCAGAAAGCCACGGCUAACUACGU
RNAcentral lists this ribosomal RNA (496 nucleotides) under uncultured bacterium. RNAcentral's name for it is "partial 16S ribosomal RNA". It matches the Rfam family "Bacterial small subunit ribosomal RNA", at positions 28 to 506 of the family's 1533-position model. The record is from RNAcentral.